CCUACGGGCGGCAGCAGUGAGGAAUAUUGGUCAAUGGGCGCGAGCCUGAACCAGCCAAGUCGCGUGAGGGAAGACGGCCCUAUGGAUUGUAAACCUCUUUUGUCGGGGAGCAAAAGACGCCACGCGUGGCGUUCCGAGAGUACCCUAAGAAAAAGCAUCGGCUAACUCCGUGCCAGCAGCCGCGGUAAUACGGAGGAUGCGAGCGUUAUCCGGAUUUAUUGGGUUUAAAGGGUGCGCAGGCGGACGAUCAAGUCAGCGGUAAAAUUGAGAGGCUCAACCUCUUAGAGCAGUUGAAACUGGUUGUCUUGAGUGAGCGAGAAGUAUGCGGAAUGCGUGGUGUAGCGGUGAAAUGCAUAGAUAUCACGCAGAACUCCGAUUGCGAAGGCAGCAUACUGGCGUUUAACUGACGCUGAUGCACGAAAGUGUGGGUAUCGAACAGGAUUAGAUACCCGGGUAGUC
Molecule: ribosomal RNA, 459 nt
Filed under: uncultured bacterium
Lineage: Bacteria
Description: partial 16S ribosomal RNA
Rfam family: Bacterial small subunit ribosomal RNA
Source: RNAcentral